This 706-nucleotide ribosomal RNA is filed under the name uncultured soil bacterium. Its description in RNAcentral is "bacterial SSU rRNA". It matches the Rfam family "Bacterial small subunit ribosomal RNA", at positions 42 to 751 of the family's 1533-position model. The record is from RNAcentral.
GCAGGCUUAACACAUGCAAGUCGAGGGGUAGAGUAGCAAUACUUGAGACCGGCGCACGGGUGCGUAACGCGUAUGCAAUCUACCUUUUACAGAGGGAUAGCCCAGAGAAAUUUGGAUUAAUACCUCAUAGCAUUGCAGGAUGGCAUCAUCCAGCAAUUAAAGUCACAACGGUAAAAGAUGAGCAUGCGUCCCAUUAGCUAGUUGGUAAGGUAACGGCUUACCAAGGCUACGAUGGGUAGGGGUCCUGAGAGGGAGAUCCCCCACACUGGUACUGAGACACGGACCAGACUCCUACGGGAGGCAGCAGUGAGGAAUAUUGGACAAUGGGCGCAAGCCUGAUCCAGCCAUGCCGCGUGCAGGAUGACGGUCCUAUGGAUUGUAAACUGCUUUUAUACGAGAAGAAACACUACUUCGUGAAGUAGCUUGACGGUAUCGUAAGAAUAAGGAUCGGCUAACACCGUGCCAGCAGCCGCGGUAAUACGGAGGAUCCAAGCGUUAUCCGGAAUCAUUGGGUUUAAAGGGUCCGUAGGCGGUUUAAUAAGUCAGUGGUGAAAGCCCAUCGCUCGACGGUGGAACGGCCAUUGAUACUGUUAAACUUGAAUUAUUAGGAAGUAACUAGAAUAUGUAGUGUAGCGGUGAAAUGCUUAGAGAUUACAUGGAAUACCAAUUGCGAAGGCAGGUUACUACUAAUGGAUUGACGCUGAUG